GCCAGGUGUGGUGAUGUGUGCCUCUAGUCCCAGCUACUCUGGAGGCUGAGGCAGAAGGAUUGCAAGUUUGAGGCCAGCCUGGGAAAUUUAGUAAAUUUCUGUCUCAA
RNAcentral lists this small RNA (107 nucleotides) under Marmota monax (woodchuck). The record is from RNAcentral. Lineage: Eukaryota; Metazoa; Chordata; Mammalia; Rodentia; Sciuridae.